GACGAACCGCCCGAACGUUAUUCGGAAUCAUUGGGCUUAAAGGGUGCGUAGGCGGCGCUGUAAGUCGUGUGUGAAAUCUCUCGGCUUAACCGAGGAACUGCGCAUGAUACUGCAGUGCUUGAGGGAGACAGAGGUAAGCGGAACUGAUGGUGGAGCGGUGAAAUGCGUUGAUAUCAUCAGGAACACCGGUGGCGAAAGCGGCUUACUGGGUCUCUUCUGACGCUGAGGCACGAAAGCUAGGGGAGCAAACGGG
Molecule: ribosomal RNA, 253 nt
Filed under: uncultured bacterium
Lineage: Bacteria
Description: partial 16S ribosomal RNA
Rfam family: Bacterial small subunit ribosomal RNA
Source: RNAcentral